Molecule: unclassified non-coding RNA, 345 nt
Filed under: soil metagenome
Description: partial contains 5.8S ribosomal RNA, internal transcribed spacer 2, and large subunit ribosomal RNA
Rfam family: 5.8S ribosomal RNA (bases 1-119)
Source: RNAcentral
GAUGAAGAACGCAGCGAAAUGCGAUACGUAAUGUGAAUUGCAAAUUCAGUGAAUCAUCGAGUCUUUGAACGCACAUUGCGCCCCCUGGUAUUCCGGGGGGCAUGCCUGUCCGAGCGUCAUUGCUGCCCUCAAGCCCGGCUUGUGUGUUGGGCCCCGUCCUCCGAUCCCGGGGGACGGGCCCGAAAGGCAGCGGCGGCACCGCGUCCGGUCCUCGAGCGUAUGGGGCUUUGUCACCCGCUCUGUAGGCCCGGCCGGCGCUUGCCGAUCAACCCAAAUUUUUAUCCAGGUUGACCUCGGAUCAGGUAGGGAUACCCGCUGAACUUAAGCAUAUCAAUAAGCGGAGGA